This is a small nuclear RNA of Lontra canadensis (Northern American river otter), 134 nucleotides long. RefSeq annotates it as U4 spliceosomal RNA. The transcript has a single exon. NCBI's taxonomy places the organism in Eukaryota, Metazoa, Chordata, Mammalia, Carnivora, Mustelidae. The record is from RefSeq and is a predicted model, not a curated record.
AGCUUUGCGCAGUGGCAGUAUCGUAGCUAAUGAGGUUUAUCCGAGGCACGAUUAUUGCUAAUUGAAAUAUAAAUAUGUGUAUAUUAUUCUAGUAUUGAUUUAUAAUUUAAGCAUGAGGCGAAGUAAUUUUGGCU